Molecule: long non-coding RNA, 884 nt
Organism: Cotesia glomerata
Lineage: Eukaryota; Metazoa; Arthropoda; Insecta; Hymenoptera; Braconidae
Exons: 2
Source: RefSeq, a predicted model, not a curated record
ACAUUUUAUUUUUAUAGAUAGAUCAUAUUCUUUGCCAAAUCAUCUAAUUUUAAGAAUUAUAUUUCUAUAUUUAUGCAGCUCAUUUUUCAGGAUGAUUCUGUAUGCGUUGAAAGGAUCGUAUACGGAGAAAAAAAACAGUACUGAUUACUAUUUGUACAGUACUAAGAAGUGUUUUGGAAAAAAACGAGAUUAAAGAUGCUUGGAACAGUGCAGGGUGUUAUGCUAAAACUACUGGCUGCUGAACAUCUGUGAACAUCUUUCUAAAACACUUCUAAGUACUGUACGAAAAAGUAAUCAUUACUGUUUUUUUUAUUCUCUAUGUACCCAAUGAUGGAAAUAAAAAUUAAGAAUUCAAAAGUUAUUUAAAAAUUGAUAUAAAAAUACAAGACGUGUCACUAGCAAUUACUUUAGUUAUGAUAGAUCUAUUGCAAAUUAAUACUAAUACUAAUAAUAAUAUUAAUGAUAUUUUCCCCUACUUUUAAGUCUACAGUUUCUGUAUAAAACAGCUCGCUCUUGUCCACAGUCAUCAGUUCCAAACAAAGUAGUAAACUUAUAAUCGUUUCACAGAAAUAAAGUCAUUAUGAAAAUUUUAUUGAUUUUCCUUGGUGUCGUGGCAAUUUAUGCAGUGGUUGUCAAUGCUAAAUUUAAGAUUCCAGAAGUAAAUGGCACGACUUCACUACCUAAAGAUGCAUAGAGAAUAUAAAAAUGUGGGCCAAUACACGUAUAUAACAUCACAGAUUUAACUUAAUCUUAUGUGAAUUGGUAAUUCUUUCGAGUAGAGUAUCGGUCGCAAAAAAAUUGUGAUUUUCAAUCGACUUACCUAUAAACUUAACACAUUGUUCUCUAAAAUUAUGACCAUCUGAAUAAUAAAUAAUGUGUUAACU